Molecule: ribosomal RNA, 568 nt
Filed under: uncultured bacterium
Lineage: Bacteria
Description: bacterial SSU rRNA
Rfam family: Bacterial small subunit ribosomal RNA
Source: RNAcentral
CCUACGGGAGGCAGCAGUGGGGAAUAUUGCACAAUGGGCGCAAGCCUGAUGCAGCAACGCCGCGUGAGGGACGACGGCCUUCGGGUUGUAAACCUCUUUUAGUAGGGAAGAAGCGAAAGUGACGGUACCUGCAGAAAAAGCACCGGCUAACUACGUGCCAGCAGCCGCGGUAAUACGUAGGGUGCAAGCGUUAUCCGGAAUUAUUGGGCGUAAAGAGCUCGUAGGCGGUUUGUCGCGUCUGCUGUGAAAACUGGAGGCUCAACCUCCAGCCUGCAGUGGGUACGGGCAAACUAGAGUGCGGUAGGGGAGAUUGGAAUUCCUGGUGUAGCGGUGGAAUGCGCAGAUAUCAGGAGGAACACCGAUGGCGAAGGCAGAUCUCUGGGCCGUAACUGACGCUGAGGAGCGAAAGCAUGGGGAGCGAACAGGAUUAGAUACCCUGGUAGUCCAUGCCGUAAACGGUUGGGCGCUAGAUGUGGGGACCAUUCCACGGUUUCCGUGUCGCAGCUAACGCAUUAAGCGCCCCGCCUGGGGAGUACGGCCGCAAGGCUAAAACUCAAAUGAAUUGACG